GAUAACUCCGGAAUAGCCUUUCGAAAGAAAGAUUAAUACCGGAUGGCAUACGAAUAUCGCAUGAUAUUUUUAUUAAAGAAUUUCGGUUAUCGAUGGGGAUGCGUUCCAUUAGUUUGUUGGCGGGGUAACGGCCCACCAAGACUACGAUGGAUAGGGGUUCUGAGAGGAAGGUCCCCCACAUUGGAACUGAGACACGGUCCAAACUCCUACGGGAGGCAGCAUG
Molecule: ribosomal RNA, 223 nt
Filed under: uncultured bacterium
Lineage: Bacteria
Description: partial 16S ribosomal RNA
Rfam family: Bacterial small subunit ribosomal RNA
Source: RNAcentral